Molecule: ribosomal RNA, 468 nt
Filed under: uncultured bacterium
Lineage: Bacteria
Description: partial 16S ribosomal RNA
Rfam family: Bacterial small subunit ribosomal RNA
Source: RNAcentral
GACGAACGCUGGCGGCGUGCUUAACACAUGCAAGUCGAACGGAAAGGCCCUGCUUUUGUGGGGUGCUCGAGUGGCGAACGGGUGAGUAACACGUGAGUAACCUGCCCUUGACUUUGGGAUAACGUCAGGAAACUGGGGCUAAUACCGGAUAGGAGCUCCUGCUGCAUGGUGGGGGUUGGAAAGGUUCGGCGGUUGGGGAUGGACUCGCGGCUUAUCAGCUUGUUGGUGGGGUAGUGGCUUACCAAGGCUUUGACGGGUAGCCGGCCUGAGGGGGUGACCGGCCACAUUGGGACUGGGAUACGGCCCAGACUCCUACGGGAGGCAGCAGUGCGGAAUAUUGCAGAAUGGGCGGAAGCCGGAUGCAGCAACGCCGCGUGCGGGAUGACGGCAUUCGGGUUGUAACCCGCUUUCGCCUGUGACGAAGCGUGAGUGACGGUAAUGGGUAAAGAAGCACCGGCUAACUACGUG